This 484-nucleotide ribosomal RNA is filed under the name uncultured bacterium. RNAcentral's name for it is "partial 16S ribosomal RNA". It matches the Rfam family "Bacterial small subunit ribosomal RNA", at positions 30 to 507 of the family's 1533-position model. The record is from RNAcentral.
AUUGAACGCUGGCGGCAGGCCUAACACAUGCAAGUCGAGCGGAUGAAGGGAGCUUGCUCCUGGAUUCAGCGGCGGACGGGUGAGUAAUGCCUAGGAAUCUGCCUCGUAGUGGGGGAUAACGUCCGGAAACGGGCGCUAAUACCGCAUGCUUGCUGAUGGAGAAAGUGGGGGAUCUUCGGACCUCACGCUAUCAGAUGAGUCUAGGUCGGAUUAGCUAGUUGGUGGGGUAAAGGCCUAGCAAGGCGACGAUCCGUAACUGGUCUGAGAGGAUGAUCAGUCACACUGGAACGGAGACACGGUCCAGACUCCUACGGGAGGCAGCAGUGGGCAAUAUUGGACAAUGGGCGAAAGCCUGAUCCAGCCAUGCCGCGUGUGUGAAGAAGGUCUUCGGAUUGUAAAGCACUUUAAGUUGGGAGGAAGGGCAGUAAGUUAAUACCUUGCUGUUUUGACGUUACCAACAGAAUAAGCACCGGCUAACUUCGUG